Molecule: long non-coding RNA, 781 nt
Organism: Syngnathoides biaculeatus (alligator pipefish)
Lineage: Eukaryota; Metazoa; Chordata; Actinopteri; Syngnathiformes; Syngnathidae
Exons: 3
Source: RefSeq, a predicted model, not a curated record
GCUAUGGUGUGGGCCCGUAUGGGACUGUUUGUCGAUCCAGACAUGGACAACGGCCUGAUACCAUACUGAUGUUGCCGGCAAAGGAUCUGACCACUUCUGGAGUUAGACAGAAUGGUGAAGGCUUCCAUGUUUACUGACGCAAAAUCGCUGGAUCCACAGAGUGACGACACCAACUGGCAGUCGAACAAAGGUGAGCUUACAGUGAACUCUAGAAAAGCGUACAAAUGGCCUGCCACCAAACCAGAUUUGGUUCUGUUAUUUCACUCUAUGCUUUUCCAUAAGUGACAACUUGUGACCUCCCGGGUGGAAGAUGGACCGAGUUAUGUCAGGGGGAAGCUGAGGAGGGAGAAAGAAACCCCAGAUGGCUGGACCAGCACCAAACACAGAUGGGUCACGUGACGGGCACUUUGCCAUGGAACUUCCUGCGCACUCUCCCUCUCUGUCGCAGCAGUUGGUGUCACUAUUGGCGCCGUCUGCGUGAAUUCAAGGCCUUGGCUGAACAGAUUGGCCAGUCGGUGAGGAUCAUUUGCAGAAAACUGUUAAUCUCCCGCCGGCUGCAUCAAAUGCACUUGUGUGCACCGUCUUGCUUUAUUCUUUGUUUAAAUUGAGCGUGACUUGGCCACAGGUUUGACAUCAGGUCAGUGUAAAACAUUAUCCUAAAGGAAGGUGCUGUGACUUAUUUAUAGAUUUAAAAAAAACCUCUCUGAUCUUUUUGAAAGAAUAGUACACCAAUAGGGAGGCACUGUCCACACUUCGUGGUUUACAACUUUUUUUCUGGUAC